Molecule: long non-coding RNA, 1264 nt
Filed under: Gallus gallus (chicken)
Lineage: Eukaryota; Metazoa; Chordata; Aves; Galliformes; Phasianidae
Source: RNAcentral
CCAGUAUUGGGGUUUGUAAGAAAUGGCAGGAAGUCAUCAAAGUGACUGUGAAUAUACUUGGCUGUUUGAUUUCUCAGAGUUGCAACAGUCCAGGAAUUGUGGUGAUCCUUGAGCUGAUCUUCAAUAGCUCUGUACAUGCAAUGGCCAUCUGAAGGAAUCUGUUUAAUCUCCAAGUGCCUUGCUGCCAACAAGGAGGCAAGUUUCUGACUUUCAAGAUGCCUUGCUCCUGUUAAAUUUUCUAUCUCAGCUUCAGCUAUUCUUUCUUCUCUUUCUUUCUCCAAGGCAGCUUUUUUUUCCCGUCUCUUCUGUGCUUUUGAUAUUCGAGGAUGCUGAAUCUGCUGCUCCCGUCCCUCAAGCUCAAAAUUCGCAACCCCAUCAGCUAUAGAAUCUAUCUUAUUCUGCUCAGGCAUAGCUUCCUUCAGCUGCUUUAAUUCCUCCUUGUGCUUCUGUUCAAGUUCUGCCUCUAGUUUGGCGACUUCUUCGGCCAGCUGUUUUCGUCUCUUUUUGUCAUUCUUGGGAACAGCAUUUUUCAUGCCUUGAAUUUUUGCUUGCAGCUCGCGCUUCUCCCUGCGCUGCCGCUUCACGAGCUGCUGCAGCGGCCCGCCGGCCUCCGCCUCCUCGUCCUCGGAGCCCUCCAUGGGCGCCCGCAGGCCCGCGCCCGCCGGACGCCCUCAACCCGACCCCGGCGGGAGCCGCGUGCUUCCGGCAGCGCCGCGCCGCCCGGCCCCGCCCUCCGCCCGCGCCUGGCCGUGCGGGGAGCGCCACGGUGGGCCUGCAGUGCCUCGGCUUCCCCGGCUGCGGCGCCUCCGGGCUCGGCUGUUUGCGGCCCUGCUGUGCUGGGCCCGCCCCGCCGCUGAGAUGGGCGGCUUCUCCCCGCCUCGUUAGCCCUCGCGUUCUGGGACCUGAACCCGGCGGUGGCUGCGUGUCUUUGGUGGGCGGUGUGAGAACGCAGGACGGCGGGUGGGAGAGCCGGCACGGCCGUCCCUGUCUGAUCGAGCGUAAGGCUGAAGCACCCCCUCCUCAUUACUGUCGGUUGGCAAAAAUAGCUGCGGGGCGGCUUGCUCGAAACCCCUGCCUGAUCCAAGGCUGCCUGUGGGUCUGCCUUUAGAAACCUAAAGAGAUAGCUCUGAAAGUAAUGCCUCCUAUUCGUUUCCAUGGAAACUUCAGCAGCUACAAAGAGCACAACAGGUACAAUAGUGCUGUUUGAUAGAGCAGGCUCUCAGCCACAAAACGCUAUUUUUUUCAGCAAAAUUAUCGCUAUUAG